GAAAUUGAACUCGCUGUGAAGAUGCAGUGUACCCGCGGCAAGACGGAAAGACCCCGUGAACCUUUACUAUAGCUUGACACUGAACAUUGAGCCUUGAUGUGUAGGAUAGGUGGGAGGCUUUGAAGUGUGGACGCCAGUCUGCAUGGAGCCGACCUUGAAAUACCACCCUUUAAUGUUUGAUGUUCUAACGUUGACCCGUAAUCCGGGUUGCGGACAGUGUCUGGUGGGUAGUUUGACUGGGGCGGUCUCCUCCUAAAGAGUAACGGAGGAGCACGAAGGUUGGCUAAUCCUGGUCGGACAUCAGGAGGUUAGUGCAAUGGCAUAAGCCAGCUUGACUGCGAGCGUGACGGCGCGAGCAGGUGCGAAAGCAGGUCAUAGUGAUCCGGUGGUUCUGAAUGGAAGGGCCAUCGCUCAACGGAUAAAAGGUACUCCGGGGAUAACAGGCUGAUACCGCCCAAGAGUUCAUAUCGACGGCGGUGUUUGGCACCUCGAUGUCGGCUCAUCACAUCCUGGGGCUGAAGUAGGUCCCAAG
This 532-nucleotide ribosomal RNA is filed under the name Clostridium acetobutylicum. RNAcentral describes it as "partial 23S ribosomal RNA". It matches the Rfam family "Bacterial large subunit ribosomal RNA", at positions 2038 to 2569 of the family's 2925-position model. The record is from RNAcentral. Lineage: Bacteria; Bacillati; Bacillota; Clostridia; Eubacteriales; Clostridiaceae.